Molecule: ribosomal RNA, 375 nt
Filed under: uncultured bacterium
Lineage: Bacteria
Description: bacterial SSU rRNA
Rfam family: Bacterial small subunit ribosomal RNA
Source: RNAcentral
GACGAACGCUGGCGGCGUGCUUAACACAUGCAAGUCGAGCGGAAAGGCCCUUCGGGGUACUCGAGCGGCGAACGGGUGAGUAACACGUGAGCAACCUGCCCUGGACUUUGGGAUAACCCUCGGAAACGGGGGCUAAUACCGGAUAUUACCUUUGCCCGCAUGGGUGUUGGUGGAAAGUUUUUCGGUCUGGGAUGGGCUCGCGGACUAUCAGCUUGUUGGUGGGGUGAUGGCCUACCAAGGCGACGACGGUUAGCCGGCCUGAGAGGGCGACCGGCCACACUGGGACUGAGACACGGCCCAGACUCCUACGGGAGGCAGCAGUGGGGAAUAUUGCACAAUGGGCGGAAGCCUGAUGCAGCGACGCCGCGUGAGGGA